Homo sapiens (human) is the source of this 795-nucleotide long non-coding RNA. Lineage: Eukaryota; Metazoa; Chordata; Mammalia; Primates; Hominidae. The record is from Ensembl.
AGUACAAGAUUUCUGAAGGGAAUCUGGCAAUGUGUAUCAAGAAACAACAACAAAAAAUUAUACCCUUUGAACCAUCCAGAAUUGGCUAGUUGGAUGAAGCAUGCCUGAGCUGAGGCUUGAAUGCUUUUGAAAAUCAGCAAACACAACUACAGUCUCCAUGAUGUAAACCAAUCUGCUGGACUACUUCCAAUUUCAGCUCCGACACAUGAAGAGCUUGGAAGUCAUCAUUCCCAUCCUUCACAAAAAGUAAAAACCAAACAAACUGAAAAUUUGUGACUUUUCUUGGGUCCCUCAGAGAAUAAAGGUUUCAGGCAAACUGCCAGCUUGACAUCUGGAGAGAGAGGAAAAUCCAAAGAGACAUAGCCAAGAUCUGUUUACCUGAACCUGAUGACAACAGAAUGAUCAACUAGUAGAAAAACUUAAAUAAUAAUUUUGAUGACUUGCUGGAGGCAGAGUGUGAAUUUGCCUGAGAGUGAGAGACCUGGUAUUUGGUGAUUACAGCAUACAGUUUCUCUUCCAAAGAUGUUUUUGCAAACAGCAGCUAGUGUUUAUGAAGUCAUCCCGGAUUUGACAGGAUACUGUCAAGUAUUCAGCGCCUUCCACCCUCCCUCGUUCUCUCUUCAACUCAGCACCACUCCCUCCACCUCCACCUCCUCCGGACCACUACAUUUGAUGCUUCCAUUGCUUCAAGAACAGAGUCAGAGAAAAAAGACUUCAAAUGUUUGGCUUUUAAGGUGCAUUCCUGGUAUAAAUCAGAGAGAUUUUGGAGAAUACAUAUUGUAUCAGCAUUUGUUA